RNAcentral lists this long non-coding RNA (710 nucleotides) under Equus caballus (horse). RNAcentral describes it as "lncRNA (ENSECAG00000057073.1)". Lineage: Eukaryota; Metazoa; Chordata; Mammalia; Perissodactyla; Equidae. The record is from RNAcentral.
AUUGCCUGAUAGCUUCUUGGGACAUAAUACAUUGGAGAAUUUGGUAGACGUGGCACUACUUUACUUCCAAGAUGUGUCAGAGGGCCAAGCAGCUUCCACCUGUUUCUCUUGGGAUGAUCGCUCUGGAGGAAGACAGCUGCCGUGCUGGAGAGACUAUUGGAGACACUCCAUGCUAGCCCAGCUCCCAGCCGACAGCCGGCACCAGCUGCCAGCCUGUGAGGCAGCCAUCGUGGACAGUCAGCCUGAUCGUCUCACAGGACUGAAGCCCCAGCUGACAACUGAAUUCAACCAAGCUAAAGACCCCAAGCAAGAACUGCUCAUUUGAGAUCUUCUCCAAGUUCUGACCCACAAAAUCACAAGUAAAUUAAAUUGGUGGUUUUAAGCUGCUAAUAUUAGGGAUAAUUCGUUAUGUAGAAAUAGUAACCCAAACAUUGAUCGAGAACAAAAAGAGAAAAUAUCAAUUUUCAAUAUCAGCAUUGAAGGAGAGGACCCACUACAGAUAUUACAUGCCUUAAAAAGGAAAAUAAAGCAACAUUAAGAACAACUUCAUGGGGCCGGCCUGGUGGCACAGCCAUUAAGUGCACAUGAUCCACUUGGGUGGCCUGAGGUUCGCCAGUUCGGAUCCCAGGUGUGGACACAGCACCACUCAGCAAGCCAUGCUGUAGCAGGCGUCCCCCAUAUAAAGUAGAGGAAGAUGGGCAUGGAUGUUA